CUAUGACUGGGCUUUUCUUGCGCAGUCUAAGUGGGAGGCGUUGAAGAUUUCUUUUCGGAGAAAUAAGAGCCGCUAGUGAGAGACCACUCUAGAAAAGUCGAGAUUCUAAAGAUAGUCCUUGAAUCAGGAUAUCUAACAUUCUCAGGUGGACAGUUUCACUGGGGCGGUGACCUCCUAAAGAGUAACGGAGGUGUACAAAGGUUCCUUCAAGCUGGACGGAAAUCAGCUGGAGAGUGCAAAGGCAAAAGGGAGCUUGACUGCAAGACCUACAAGUCAAGCAGAGACGAAAGUCGGUCUUAGUGAUCCGACGGUUCCGAGUGGAAGGGCCGUCGCUCAACGGAUAAAAGUUACUCUAGGGAAAACAGGGCUGAA
Molecule: ribosomal RNA, 372 nt
Filed under: uncultured organism
Description: bacterial LSU rRNA
Rfam family: Bacterial large subunit ribosomal RNA
Source: RNAcentral